UGGAAUUCUUUGUUUUUUAGAAAAGUAUGAACAUGGAAAAUAUGCUUUGCUCAGGAAAUAGGGAAACUGUGUUGUUGCAACAGGCACGUGGGUGCAUGACAUUUACUGGAUGAUACUUGCUUGGGAGAGAUCUACUUUAGCUGCUAACACACGCAAAUUGAGUAGGUGGGAUUUUUAUUCAGCUAGCUGACCCCAAUCACAAUGCUUUGCACACGAGUGCAUGAUCCUAGUCUUUAAUCAGGAUUCAAAUACGCUUCCUAUUUGUACAUAUUUGACAAGAAACGAAGCAUCCGAGAAGUACAGUAGUAUUACCAGUUGUAGCAUCUUUCAAUGGUUCUUUGCUAUUCUCCCGGAACUUAUGAUGCAUCCAGCCCCAAAGCUGCCAGAAAAUAAGAUUUGUGGUGACCAACACCAAGAAAGCUACAAAAUUUUGGUUGGCCGUUCUCUAUCAAGAUCACAUCAAGAUCAAGUUGGAGGGCCAUUACAGAUGAGCCCCUACUGUUGUGGUUACAUGACGCGCAA
Camelina sativa (false flax) is the source of this 522-nucleotide non-coding RNA. The record is from RefSeq and is a predicted model, not a curated record. NCBI's taxonomy places the organism in Eukaryota, Viridiplantae, Streptophyta, Magnoliopsida, Brassicales, Brassicaceae.